RNAcentral lists this ribosomal RNA (460 nucleotides) under uncultured bacterium. Its description in RNAcentral is "partial 16S ribosomal RNA". It matches the Rfam family "Bacterial small subunit ribosomal RNA", at positions 28 to 507 of the family's 1533-position model. The record is from RNAcentral.
GACGAACGCUGGCGGCGUGCUUAACACAUGCAAGUCGAGCGGUAAGGCCUCUUCGGGGGUACACGAGCGGCGAACGGGUGAGUAACACGUGGGUGACCUGCCCUCAGCUCUGGGAUAAGCCUGGGAAACUGGGUCUAAUACCGGAUAUGACCUUUCCUCGCAUGGGGUUUGGUGGAAAGUUUUUUCGGCUGGGGAUGGGCCCGCGGCCUAUCAGCUUGUUGGUGGGGUGAUGGCCUACCAAGGCGACGACGGGUAGCCGGCCUGAGAGGGCGACCGGCCACACUGGGACUGAGACACGGCCCAGACUCCUACGGGAGGCAGCAGUGGGGAAUAUUGCGCAAUGGGCGGAAGCCUGACGCAGCGACGCCGCGUGGGGGAUGACGGCCUUCGGGUUGUAAACCUCUUUCGACCCCGACGAAUUUGGACGGUGGGGGUAGAAGAAGCACCGGCCAACUACGUG